UUCCUGACCCAGCACCCAGGCGAUGUUAUUCUCUCAUUUGCUUUCUACUCACAGGUUGGAUUGUGACAUAUACUUUAGCCCAGCUCACAGUUGUGAUAAUGACACUCAUACCACAAAUCAGUCAGUAGGAGAGAUACUGGCACUUGUAGCUAAACUUAGAGAAACAGGUUAUGUAACUCUCCUUGCUGGGUCCUGCCUACAGGAAGCUUUAUGAUCUAUCUGUGUAUUCAUCAUCCAGGUGUUAUGACUCUCGUCUUUUCACUGGAACCUGCCAAGAAGGGUGAUUGUGACAUAUCACUGGACCCAGCACCUUGGUGAUGUGACUCUCCUCUCCUCCUUGGGCCCUGCUUACAUUGUGUCUGUUGAAAUACGGCUGGUCCAACACCUAGAUUGAUGACAAUCAGAUUCACUUAGAGUGGAAAAAAUAUGUUGGCCCUUAUAAAAUAGUCAUUAGAAGGCCUAUGUGCGUAAUAGAACCUCAUGUGUCUUCUGCUACUAAAGUCUAACAUUACUAAAUUCAACAAGGCUUUAAUGCAUUAUGGCAAAGCACAUUUUCACCAGGUGAGGAAAGCCUUUACUAGUCUACUGACUGAGGAGAGUAAAACCCUUUAUAAUCAAGAACUCAGAGAUUGAAUCUGCCUGCCACCUACACUGAUGCAAGACUUCAAGACCUUGAACAUUGGAUUGAUAAUCUCACAACUUAGAAGGGCCCCUCCAAACUCUUGAAAUUGUAAACCCAUAGGAGAUUUUAAGGUAAAGCUAACCAGGAAAGUUUGUCCUCAAAAGCAGAUGGCCGUCUCCAUGUAGAUAGCUUUUUUCACAAGAUCAAAAAUCAAGACAUCUCGUUAUCAUGACACUCUUAGUUCACAGUUUGUUUAUGGUUCUACAAACCACAGAAAUUUUAAAAAGUGGUCUCUUGUGUGCACUCAUGGGGGUAUACUUAUAUGUAGAGAAUUUUGCAGCCAACAUUAUGUAUGAGGAAACUUAUUCCUUGAAAGGUAAAAGAAGAAGGGCCAAUGUAGGUGAGAAGUUUUAAUGAAACAUUUGUUUUCUCACAAUAUCAAAAACAGAAUAUUGGUCCACUGCUCUUAACCUAUUUCAUAAGUUAAAAAGAACUUAUUCAGAAUAGGUUAAAGAGCAUUGCCAGGAGGCCAUUACUCUUCUGAAUGGGUAUCACUGUUUAGAGUAAAUGAGGCAAUGGUUACAAAUUGAUCCCUCUCAAUAGGGCUCUAUAGCAGAUUAUACCAUAAAAACUAUGCUUACACAAUAGACUUUAAGUUUUC
RNAcentral lists this long non-coding RNA (1283 nucleotides) under Pan troglodytes (chimpanzee). Its description in RNAcentral is "long non-coding RNA NONPTRT008039". Lineage: Eukaryota; Metazoa; Chordata; Mammalia; Primates; Hominidae. The record is from RNAcentral.